RNAcentral lists this ribosomal RNA (467 nucleotides) under uncultured bacterium. RNAcentral describes it as "partial 16S ribosomal RNA". It matches the Rfam family "Bacterial small subunit ribosomal RNA", at positions 28 to 507 of the family's 1533-position model. The record is from RNAcentral.
GACGAACGCUGGCGGCGUGCUUAACACAUGCAAGUCGAACGGAAAGGCCUCUUUCGGGGGGUACUCGAGUGGCGAACGGGUGAGUAACACGUGAGUAACCUGCCCUUGACUUUGGGAUAACUUCAGGAAACUGGGGCUAAUACCGGAUAGGAGCUCCUGCUGCAUGGUGGGGGUUGGAAAGUUUCGGCGGUUGGGGAUGGACUCGCGGCUUAUCAGCUUGUUGGUGGGGUAGUGGCUUACCAAGGCUUUGACGGGUAGCCGGCCUGAGAGGGUGACCGGCCACAUUGGGACUGAGAUACGGCCCAGACGCCUACGGGGGGCAGCAGGGGGGAAUAUUGCACAAUGGGUGGGAGCCUGAUGCAGCAACGCCGUGUGCGGGAUGACGGGCUUCGGGUUGUAAACCGCUUUCGCUCAUGACGAAGCUUUGUGUGACGGUAGUGGGUAAAGAAGCACCGGCUAACUACGUG